GUAGGGUAGUAUCCUGCAAGUCUUA
RNAcentral lists this transfer RNA (25 nucleotides) under Uperoleia saxatilis (Pilbara toadlet). RNAcentral describes it as "partial tRNA-Ala". Lineage: Eukaryota; Metazoa; Chordata; Amphibia; Anura; Myobatrachidae. The record is from RNAcentral.